RNAcentral lists this ribosomal RNA (433 nucleotides) under Tannerella forsythia. RNAcentral's name for it is "bacterial SSU rRNA". It matches the Rfam family "Bacterial small subunit ribosomal RNA", at positions 28 to 456 of the family's 1533-position model. The record is from RNAcentral. Lineage: Bacteria; Pseudomonadati; Bacteroidota; Bacteroidia; Bacteroidales; Tannerellaceae.
GAUGAACGCUAGCAAUAGGCUUAACACAUGCAAGUCGAGGGGCAUCGAGGGUAGCAAUACCUGUCGGCGACCGGCGCACGGGUGAGUAACGCGUAUGUAACCUGCCCGCAACAGAGGGAUAACCCGGCGAAAGUCGGACUAAUACCUCAUAAAACAGGGGUUCCGCAUGGGGCUAUUUGUUAAAGAUUUAUUGGUUGCGGAUGGGCAUGCGUACCAUUAGGUAGUUGGUGAGGUAACGGCUCACCAAGCCAUCGAUGGUUAGGGGUUCUGAGAGGAAGGUCCCCCACACUGGUACUGAGACACGGACCAGACUCCUACGGGAGGCAGCAGUGAGGAAUAUUGGUCAAUGGGCGAGAGCCUGAACCAGCCAAGUCGCGUGAAGGAUGACUGCCCUAUGGGUUGUAAACUUCUUUUACAGGGGAAUAAAAUGAGA